AUGGAACGCUGGCGGCAGGCUUAACACACGCAAGUCGAGCGGGGAAGGUAGCUUGCUACUGGACCUAGCGGCGGACGGGUGAGUAAUGCUUAGGAAUCUGCCUAUUAGUGGGGGACAACAUCUCGAAAGGGAUGCUAAUACCGCAUACGUCCUACGGGAGAAAGCAGGGGAUCUUCGGACCUUGCGCUAAUAGAUGAGCCUAAGUCGGAUUAGCUAGUUGGUAGGGUAAAGGCCUACCAAGGCGACGAUCUGUAGCGGGUCUGAGAGGAUGAUCCGCCACACUGGGACUGAGACACGGCCCAGACUCCUACGGGAGGCAGCAGUGGGGAAUAUUGGACAAUGGGGGGAACCCUGAUCCAGCCAUGCCGCGUGUGUGAAGAAGGCCUUAUGGUUGUAAAGCACUUUAAGCGAGGAGGAGGCUACUCUAGUUAAUACCUAGGGAUAGUGGACGUUACUCGCAGAAUAAGCACCGGCUAACUCUGUGCCAGCCGCCGCGGUAA
This 500-nucleotide ribosomal RNA is filed under the name uncultured bacterium. RNAcentral's name for it is "partial 16S ribosomal RNA". It matches the Rfam family "Bacterial small subunit ribosomal RNA", at positions 31 to 523 of the family's 1533-position model. The record is from RNAcentral.